UGCCAGCAGCCGCGGUAAUACGUAGGGUGCUAGCGUUGUUCGGAAUUAUUGGGCGUAAAGAGCGUGUAGGUGGUUUAGUAAGUCAGAUGUGAAAUCCCUGGGCUCAACCGAGGAAGUGCAUCUGAAACUACUUGGCUAGAGGAUGGCAGAGGGAAGUGGAAUUCCUAGUGUAGAGGUGAAAUUCGUAGAUAUUAGGAGGAAUACCGGUGGCGAAGGCGGCUUCCUGGACCAUUCCUGACACUGAGACGCGAAAGCGUGGGUAGCAAACAGGAUUAGAUA
Molecule: ribosomal RNA, 279 nt
Filed under: uncultured bacterium
Lineage: Bacteria
Description: partial 16S ribosomal RNA
Rfam family: Bacterial small subunit ribosomal RNA
Source: RNAcentral